GUCUUGUAAUUGGAAUGAUGGUGACCUAAACCCUCACCAGAGUAACAAUUGGAGGGCAAGUCUGGUGCCAGCAGCCGCGGUAAUUCCAGCUCCAAUAGCGUAUAUUAAACUUGUUGCAGUUAAAAAGCUCGUAGUUGAAUUUCUGCGUUAUCGAGUUAUUGACUCUUGUCUUUAAUCGAUUUCGCUUUUGGGAUUUAUCCCUUUUUACUUUGAGAAAAUUAGAGUGUUUCAAGCAGACUUUUGUCUUGAAUACUUCAGCAUGGAAUAAUAGAGUAGGACUUUGGUUCUAUUUUGUUGGUUUUUGAACCUUAGUAAUGGUUAAUAGGAACGGUUGGGGGCAUUCGUAUUUAACUGUCAGAGGUGAAAUUCUUAGAUUUGUUAAAGACGAACUACUGCGAAAGCAUUUGCCAAGGACGUUUCCAUUAAUCAAGAACGAAAGUUAGGGGAUCGAAGACGAUCAGAUACCGUCGUAGUCCUAACCAUAAACUAA
This 490-nucleotide ribosomal RNA is filed under the name Babesia venatorum (nom. ined.). RNAcentral's name for it is "SSU rRNA". It matches the Rfam family "Eukaryotic small subunit ribosomal RNA", at positions 500 to 1040 of the family's 1831-position model. The record is from RNAcentral. Lineage: Eukaryota; Apicomplexa; Aconoidasida; Piroplasmida; Babesiidae.